CAGUGAUCCGUAAAAGUGAGCUGCGAUGCCUCUGCUAGGAUGGAGGUGGGCAAGCUCCUCCCUGGAGGGCAGACGGUAUGUGUUUUGGGCUUUGCUGGCCACAUGGUCUCUGCUGUGACUACCCUGUACUCAGCUCUGCCAUUGUGGCAGCAGAGCAGCCAUAGACCUUCUGUUAGUGAAUGAGUAUGACUGUGUCCUAAUGAAACUUUAUUGACGAAAGCAGGUGGAGGGCCAGCCUAAGGGCAAAGGGCUGAAAUCUGUAGGUCUCUGUUCUAGACCAGUGACUCUCUGAAGAGGAAAUGGGGCAUGGGGAGUGGGGACAGUGUGUGGGGGAAGGGGUGGCACACAGGCAUGUGGGAAUGGCAUGGACAUGGAGAACACUGGAGGUGGGGAGGAGCUGGAGAAGCUGAACUCUGACACUGGCCCCUGGGCGACACUAGGUCUCUCCACAGCCUCCUCUCUUAGCCUCUCCCUCCAGUUUCAAAAUGACUACUCCUCUGAGGGGACUCAGGCUCCUCACCUGGUUCCCCAGUUCCCACCGGAAAGCCUGAGUGGGUGUUCCAGCCUCUGCCCCACCAGGAACCCCUGGAAGGCAGCACCCCCAGGCAGGGACCUUUCCCCCCUGCCCCUCCCUCCUCCAGUUCUGGGUCCUGGCCAAGAGACAACUUCUCAGCUCAGAGGGACCUGACCAGGAAGGUCCAGGCCCCUCCACCCAGGAAGCCCCUGCAGGCGAGAGGGCGGCCCUCCCUCCUCCCUCGCCCUGUCAGUUUUUCUUUCUGAUAGAAACAGCAGCAACUCACACACAGAGGAGCUGGGCAGGUGAGUGGCCCGCAUGCUGGGCUGCAGAAAGCCGGGGCUACAGCCCAAGGCACCAGCUGGGCAGGGGGCUGCACAGCCUCAGCAGCAGCAAUUCCAAGCCCAGAAAGGCUGCAUGGCCAGGGAGAACAGAGGCCCCAGAAGGCUCUUCACCGCGGUCUCCACGAGAGAAAGUGUGGGCAGAAGCCAGCUCUGAAGCCCAGGCUGCCCAGCCAGCACUGGCAGAGCCGAGGGAGGAAGGCGGGGGCAAAGCUGCAUCUCCCUGUCUUGGACAUGAGCCCCGGAGAUCUGGAAGGAGGCAGAUAGGCCGGCGAAGCUGAGCAGCCCUGACCCCAGGGCCCCCCGUGCUCCUUGGAGAGUGGAUCAUUGCCAAGUCAUGACUCCCUGCUAUCGGGCACCGGACAUGGGCCAUGUGCUGGCAUCUGGCUGUUGCAGGACUGAACCCGCAGGUGGUGACUGCCUUUCAUGUGGUGACUGCCUUCUGGAGGCCUGGCUGGCUGACACUUUGCAUGGCUCCUAGAGAAGGGGGCUGUGAGUGGAGUCUACGGGUCACAGCCAUGUCCUGGGUGCCACGAGGCAGGGCCAGGCUGGGGUGGGGAGGGGCUGGAGACAGGCUCCUGCCAGUUCCGCCUCUCACUGGUGGUCUUCAUGCCUGGGAAGCCACUGGGGACUUGGGAAAAUGCAGGAGGCUGGGUCCUGCCUCAGGGUCUCUCACUCAGCAGGUCUGGGUGGGGUCCAAGACCGCACCCCUCACAGGUCCCAGGUGAGGCGGGUGUCCUUGGGCUCAGUCCGCCCAGCACCCAGGGCCCGGGUUGGGACAGAGCUGUGAUGCAGGCAGGCCGUUCCCCCUGUUUUCUGGGAACAUCACAUCAUCUUAGCUUGGAACCGCAGGCAUCCAGGAUUGUUAUUCACAUCCCUCCUCCAUGUUCUUCUUUUUGAUAACUUUCAUCAGGUUUGUCAGGAGCUGCGCUUCCACUAGGGAGGCCCAAGUGGAAAGCCUCUUCCUUGUCCUCCAGGAGAGAGGAAAACCUACAGUUACAAUUCCAGGGACAAGAGCGAUGCAUGUGAGGUGUGGCAAGUCUCACGGUUCAACCAGGGAAAUCAGAGAUGGCUUCCUGGAGGCAGUGACACCUGGACAGGCUUCUCCACUGAAGGAGGGAAGCGAGUGGGAGGAGCUGAGUGGGAGGAACCUAUCACUUAGUGGGAACUGCACAGGCAGAACCGACAACCACCCCCACCC
Long non-coding RNA from Sapajus apella (tufted capuchin), 2056 nucleotides. RefSeq lists it as uncharacterized. The record is from RefSeq and is a predicted model, not a curated record. The transcript has 3 exons. NCBI's taxonomy places the organism in Eukaryota, Metazoa, Chordata, Mammalia, Primates, Cebidae.